Molecule: ribosomal RNA, 934 nt
Filed under: Escherichia coli
Lineage: Bacteria; Pseudomonadati; Pseudomonadota; Gammaproteobacteria; Enterobacterales; Enterobacteriaceae
Description: partial 23S ribosomal RNA
Rfam family: Bacterial large subunit ribosomal RNA
Source: RNAcentral
ACGGGGAGCAGCCCAGAGCCUGAAUCAGUAUGUGUGUUAGUGGAAGCGUCUGGAAAGGCGCGCGAUACAGGGUGACAGCCCCGUACACAAAAAUGCACAUGCUGUGAGCUCGAUGAGUAGGGCGGGACACGUGGUAUCCUGUCUGAAUAUGGGGGGACCAUCCUCCAAGGCUAAAUACUCCUGACUGACCGAUAGUGAACCAGUACCGUGAGGGAAAGGCGAAAAGAACCCCGGCGAGGGGAGUGAAAAAGAACCUGAAACCGUGUACGUACAAGCAGUGGGAGCACGCUUAGGCGUGUGACUGCGUACCUUUUGUAUAAUGGGUCAGCGACUUAUAUUCUGUAGCAAGGUUAACCGAAUAGGGGAGCCGAAGGGAAACCGAGUCUUAACUGGGCGUUAAGUUGCAGGGUAUAGACCCGAAACCCGGUGAUCUAGCCAUGGGCAGGUUGAAGGUUGGGUAACACUAACUGGAGGACCGAACCGACUAAUGUUGAAAAAUUAGCGGAUGACUUGUGGCUGGGGGUGAAAGGCCAAUCAAACCGGGAGAUAGCUGGUUCUCCCCGAAAGCUAUUUAGGUAGCGCCUCGUGAAUUCAUCUCCGGGGGUAGAGCACUGUUUCGGCAAGGGGGUCAUCCCGACUUACCAACCCGAUGCAAACUGCGAAUACCGGAGAAUGUUAUCACGGGAGACACACGGCGGGUGCUAACGUCCGUCGUGAAGAGGGAAACAACCCAGACCGCCAGCUAAGGUCCCAAAGUCAUGGUUAAGUGGGAAACGAUGUGGGAAGGCCCAGACAGCCAGGAUGUUGGCUUAGAAGCAGCCAUCAUUUAAAGAAAGCGUAAUAGCUCACUGGUCGAGUCGGCCUGCGCGGAAGAUGUAACGGGGCUAAACCAUGCACCGAAGCUGCGGCAGCGACGCUGAUGCGUUGUUGGGUA